RNAcentral lists this unclassified non-coding RNA (197 nucleotides) under soil metagenome. RNAcentral describes it as "partial internal transcribed spacer 1". The record is from RNAcentral.
UCGAGUUUUUGAAAUGGGUUGUCGCUGGUCUCUUAUGAGGCAUGUGCACGCUCAGCUCAUCCACUCCUAAACCCUAUGUGCACCUAUGUAGAGUUUGGUGAAUGUCGGUCGAAUGGCUGAUAGGAUCCUUCUCUAUGUCUUUUAUAUAAACGCUUUAGUUAUAGAAUGUUACCUUGCAUAUUAAUGCAUUAUUAGUA